UUAUCCUAGGGAGGCAGCAGUGAGGAAUAUUGGUCAAUGGGCGGGAGCCUGAACCAGCCAAGUCGCGUGAGGGAAGACGGUCCUAUGGAUUGUAAACCUCUUUAGGCGGGGAGCAAUGCCGGGCACGCGUGUCCGGAGGGAGAGUACCCGCAGAAUAAGCAUCGGCUAACUCCGUGCCAGCAGCCGCGGUAAUACGGAGGAUGCGAGCGUUAUCCGGAUUUAUUGGGUUUAAAGGGUGCGUAGGCGGAUUUUUAAGUCAGCGGUAAAAUGUCCGGGCUCAACCCGGGCCGGCCGUUGAGACUGGG
This 305-nucleotide ribosomal RNA is filed under the name uncultured bacterium. Its description in RNAcentral is "bacterial SSU rRNA". It matches the Rfam family "Bacterial small subunit ribosomal RNA", at positions 334 to 637 of the family's 1533-position model. The record is from RNAcentral.